GCUAAUACCGCAUAACGUCGCAAGACCAAAGAGGGGGACCUUCGGGCCUCUUGCCAUCGGAUGUGCCCAGAUGGGAUUAGCUAGUAGGUGGGGUAACGGCUCACCUAGGCGACGAUCCCUAGCUGGUCUGAGAGGAUAACCAGCCACACUGGAACUGAGACACGGUCCAGACUCCUACGGGAGGCAGCAGUGGGGAAUAUUGCACAAUGGGCGCAAGCCUGAUGCAGCCAUGCCGCGUGUAUGAAGAAGGCCUUCGGGUUGUAAAGUACUUUCAGCGGGGAGGAAGGGAGUAAAGUUAAUACCUUUGCUCAUUGACGUUACCCGCAGAAGAAGCACCGGCUAACUCCGUGCCAGCAGCCGCGGUAAUACGGAGGGUGCAAGCGUUAAUCGGAAUUACUGGGCGUAAAGCGCACGCAGGCGGUUUGUUAAGUCAGAUGUGAAAUCCCCGGGCUCAACCUGGGAACUGCAUCUGAUACUGGCAAGCUUGAGUCUCGUAGAGGGGGGUAGAAUUCCAGGUGUAGCGGUGAAAUGCGUAGAGAUCUGGAGGAAUACCGGUGGCGAAGGCGGCCCCCUGGACGAAGACUGACGCUCAGGUGCGAAAGCGUGGGGAGCAAACGGGAUUAGAUACCCUGGUAGUCCACGCCGUAAACGAUGUCGACUUGGAGGUUGUGCCCUUGAGGCGUGGCUUCCGGAGCUAACGCGUUAAGUCGACCGCCUGGGGAGUACGGCCGCAAGGUUAAAACUCAAAUGAAUUGACGGGGGCCCGCACAAGCGGUGGAGCAUGUGGUUUAAUUCGAUGCAACGCGAAGAACCUUACCUGGUCUUGACAUCCACGGAAGUUUUCAGAGAUGAGAAUGUGCCUUCGGGAACCGUGAGACAGGUGCUGCAUGGCUGUCGUCAGCUCGUGUUGUGAAAUGUUGGGUUAAGUCCCGCAACGAGCGCAACCCUUAUCCUUUGUUGCCAGCGGUCCGGCCGGGAACUCAAAGGAGACUGCCAGUGAUAAACUGGAGGAAGGUGGGGAUGACGUCAAGUCAUCAUGGCCCUUACGACCAGGGCUACACACGUGCUACAAUGGCGCAUACAAAGAGAAGCGACCUCGCGAGAGCAAGCGGACCUCAUAAAGUGCGUCGUAGUCCGGAUUGGAGUCUGCAACUCGACUCCAUGAAGUCGGAAUCGCUAGUAAUCGUGGAUCAGAAUGCCACGGUGAAUACGUUCCCGGGCCUUGUACACACCGUCCGUCACACCAUGGGAGUGGGUUGCAAAAGAAGUAGGUAGCUUAACCUUCGGGAGGGCGCUUACCACUUUGUGAUUCAUGACUGGGGUGAAGUCGUAACAAGGUA
RNAcentral lists this ribosomal RNA (1340 nucleotides) under metagenome. RNAcentral's name for it is "bacterial SSU rRNA". It matches the Rfam family "Bacterial small subunit ribosomal RNA", at positions 162 to 1498 of the family's 1533-position model. The record is from RNAcentral.